GGGGAAUAUUGCACAAUGGGGGAAACCCUGAUGCAGCGACGCCGCGUGGAGGAAGAAGGUCUUCGGAUUGUAAACUCCUGUUGUUGAGGAAGAUAAUGACGGUACUCAACAAGGAAGUGACGGCUAACUACGUGCCAGCAGCCGCGGUAAAACGUAGGUCACAAGCGUUGUCCGGAAUUACUGGGUGUAAAGGGAGCGCAGGCGGGAAGACAAGUUGGAAGUGAAAUCCAUGGGCUCAACCCAUGAACUGCUUUCAAAACUGUUUUUCUUGAGUAGUGCAGAGGUAGGCGGAAUUCCCGGUGUAGCGGUGGAAUGCGUAGAUAUCGGGAGGAACACCAGUGGCGAAGGCGGCCUACUGGGCACCAACUGACGCUGAGGCUCGAAAGUGUGGGUAGCAAACAGGAUUAGAUACCCUGGUAGUCCACACUGUAAACGAUGAUUACUAGGUGUUGGAGGAUUGACCCCUUCAGUGCCGCAGUUAACACAAUAAGUAAUCCACCUGGGGAGUACGACCGCAAGGUUGAAACUCAAAGGAAUUGACGGGGGCCCGCACAAGCAGUGGAGUAUGUGGUUUAAUUCGACGCAACGCGAAGAACCUUACCAAGUCUUGACAUCCUGCGACGCACAUAGAAAUAUGUGUUUCCUUCGGGACGCAGAGACAGGUGGUGCAUGGUUGUCGUCAGCUCGUGUCGUGAGAUGUUGGGUUAAGUCCCGUAACGAGCGCAACCCUUAUGGUCAGUUACUACGCAAGAGGACUCUGGCCAGACUGCCGUUGACAAAACGGAGGAAGGUGGGGAUGACGUCAAAUCAUCAUGCCCUUUAUGACUUGGGCUACACACGUACUACAAUGGCGUUAAACAAAGAGAAGCAAGACCGCGAGGUGGAGCAAAACUCAGAAACAACGUCCCAGUUCGGACUGCAGGCUGCAACUCGCCUGCACGAAGUCGGAAUUGCUAGUAAUCGCAGAUCAGCAUGCUGCGGUGAAUACGUUCCCG
Molecule: ribosomal RNA, 995 nt
Filed under: uncultured organism
Description: bacterial SSU rRNA
Rfam family: Bacterial small subunit ribosomal RNA
Source: RNAcentral